RNAcentral lists this ribosomal RNA (468 nucleotides) under uncultured bacterium. RNAcentral's name for it is "partial 16S ribosomal RNA". It matches the Rfam family "Bacterial small subunit ribosomal RNA", at positions 28 to 507 of the family's 1533-position model. The record is from RNAcentral.
GACGAACGCUGGCGGCGUGCUUAACACAUGCAAGUCGAACGGAAAGGCCCUGCUUUUGUGGGGUGCUCGAGUGGCGAACGGGUGAGUAACACGUGAGUAACCUGCCCUUGACUUUGGGAUAACUUCAGGAAACUGGGGCUAAUACCGGAUAGGAGCUCCUGCUGCAUGGUGGGGGUUGGAAAGUUUCGGCGGUUGGGGAUGGACUCGCGGCCUAUCAGCUUGUUGGUGGGGUAGUGGCUUACCAAGGCUUUGACGGGUAGCCGGCCUGAGAGGGUGACCGGCCAAAGUAGGACUGAGCUACGGCCGGGAGUCGUACGGGAGGCAGGAGUGGGGGAUGUUGCACAAUGGGCGGAAGCCGGAUGCAGCAACGCCGCGUGCGGGAUGACGGCCUGCGGGUUGUAAACCGCUUUCGCAUGUGACGAUGCGUGAGUGACGGUAAUGGGUAAAGAAGCACCGGCUAACUACGUG